Molecule: RNA transcript, 2032 nt
Organism: Gadus macrocephalus (Pacific cod)
Lineage: Eukaryota; Metazoa; Chordata; Actinopteri; Gadiformes; Gadidae
Gene: r3hcc1
Gene name: R3H domain and coiled-coil containing 1
Exons: 8
Source: RefSeq, a predicted model, not a curated record
CUUCAUUUAAUAUACAACGAGAAGAAGUCCGGUUCGCCCGUCCGGCAGCAAAGCGCUCUGUUUCCUAAACUUGUACAGUCCAUAUCAUAUAACCUUAUUACUACAGUACUAAUCCAUGUGCUUUACUAAGAGUGUUUUAGACGUGAUCUCGUUCAAGAACUUAAGUUGCUGUAUGUUAUUUAUUAUAUCUUCAUAACUGCCCUUCCCUUUAUGAUAACAACCCUGGCGUUUCCCAGUUUUGAUGGCUGUUAUCUCCCCAAGCAAGAGAGUGUAUUUGUGCACCUUUUGCUGGAUGAACUUGAUGGGUACAUACAGAGGCUUGACAGAAAAAAUGUCUUGGUGUUUCCACCGUUGCCAAGCCGACUACGCUUUUUGAUCCACAAGACGACCGAGUCCCACUCAGAACUGGCCACCUUCUCAGUAGGGGAGGACUGGAGUCGCCGGGUGGUGGUGUGCUUUUCAGAGCAACGGUGCUAUGUAGAUGAUGCUUGUGACCCAGAGAAUAACCCCAGCUGUUCUGUGGGUGAGGCAGCACUAACCCCGAGGAACAGAGGUCACAUGGACAAAGCCCACGUUAAUCCCCCUCCCAGCCGGAGACGAACCAGAGCCUCCAAGCGACCCGACAGGGCUCUCUAUACACCCCAAGCAGCCCGACAGCGAUCGUCCUUCCCACAAGACCCACCAGCACAGGGCAGAGCCCCGGAGCCGGCCAGCUUGAGCUCCUGCAGUACCACAUCGGAAUCCAAACUUUUGACUGACAAACCCAUGGUCAUGCCCUCUCAUGUUUCCAGUAUGCCCCACGACGGUACCCAUGGCGGAGAUUUCAACAGCCCAUUAAAGAAUUUGGAGACAGCAUUGCCCGAGGCGGAUCAUUUGACAUGGUCCUUCUCUUUAGAGCAGACCAUGUCUGACUUCACUGGCAUGAAACUGGAUCAGGGCAGAUGUGGGGGAAAGCCGAAGCUGGAGGAAGAGGCCGAAGGGGGUGAUAAAGAGGAAAGGGGGACGGAAAUGGCCAGCCCCUGUGAUGCAAACCUGACUGAAGACAUUAAAACGCUUAUAACUAAAUUAACCGAUGAGAUUUCCGCAGGGCUGAAGGAAACUGAUGGGGUGGUCCUUGAGUAUGCCCAUAAUGACUACUCUCCUUUUGAGACCGUGUUGAUGAAUACUACGGAAUUCGGCCAUGUGAUCGAGAUCUACGGCUUCCCGGCCGUGUUCAAGACAGAUGACCUGAUCGAUGCCUUCACAGAUUACAGUGCUGGAGGAAUGAAAAUCACAUGGGUGGAUGACACGCAUGCCCUGGCGAUUUUCUCCAGCGAGACUGCAGCACACCAUGCCCUCAGCAUCAACCAUCCGCUCCUCAAGACGCGCACACUCUCACAGGCGAGCCAGCAAUCCAAAGCUAAAGCCGGCCAAAGAGCAGAGUUCAUCCAGCCGGUGAAGGAGCGUCCAAAGACUGACUCGGCUGUUGCCAGGCGCAUGGUCACCAGGGCUCUGGGGAUACAAACAGGACGGGUCAAGCGUUACUGAAGAGGAGCCCAGAGAUCCUUGUGGACUAACAGGUUGACGGCCUAAUCUCAACUCACCUAGAUAAGCCUUUCACACAUGAACUCCGGAGAAUCAGGAGGACUUGGCAGACAUCUGGUGACAUUUAAAACAUUACAUUUUCUUGAGCUGCCAACAUCGACACUUCAGGAUUCAGUGAGGCAGUGAAGUGAACUCACUGUCACACACCACGCUGCCAACGUUCUCAUGAGCCUAAUGGAAACCUGUCUAGCAGAAUCACUCAAGGGUUCUAUAGAGUAUUUUCACCGUCAGUAUCGAUGUUUUGUUUACGUUGAUAUGUUUUUUGUCACAAGUUCAAGUGGCAAACUAUAUUUUCAGGUGUUGUCGAUGGGGGUUUUACUUUUUGCGUAAUGAUCCGUCAAUUGUUGAAUUUCAUAAAAAAAAGAAGUGUUUGUUACAAUACCCUAAUGUUAAGGAGUCAAACAUAUGUCUAUCUCACUCAAUAAAAUAUAUAUAGUGUGGAAGAAAA